Non-coding RNA from Nephila pilipes (giant wood spider), 73 nucleotides. Lineage: Eukaryota; Metazoa; Arthropoda; Arachnida; Araneae; Nephilidae. The record is from the annotation of a GenBank genome assembly.
GCAUCGGUGGUUCAGUGUGGUAGAAUGCUCGCUCGUUACGCGGGCGGCCUGUGUUCGAUUCCCGGCCGAUGCA